CUCGAGAUUGCGGAAGCGGAUCAGGGUGGCGAUUGCCUUGCCGGAGCUCUUCAGAUGACCCGUUCUAUAGGAGAAGACACAUAGAGCGGCGAUGGCAACACGGGUCAACGGCAUCAGCAACACCGGAGUGCACUCCGGACUACCUUUGCUUCCAGAUGUGGGUCUCUCACAGGGAGGAAGAAGAAAAUCAUGGAAACAAGUUCAGCAGUAGAAACAUCACCAUGGGUGGAUUUGGUGACACAAAUGUACAUAAGCGAGGACAUCAUCUUUUUGCUGAUUUGCGUGUUGGCUGGCCCGAAC
Long non-coding RNA from Lolium rigidum, 300 nucleotides. RefSeq lists it as uncharacterized. NCBI's taxonomy places the organism in Eukaryota, Viridiplantae, Streptophyta, Magnoliopsida, Poales, Poaceae. The transcript is spliced from 3 exons. The record is from RefSeq and is a predicted model, not a curated record.